RNAcentral lists this ribosomal RNA (253 nucleotides) under uncultured bacterium. RNAcentral describes it as "partial 16S ribosomal RNA". It matches the Rfam family "Bacterial small subunit ribosomal RNA", at positions 524 to 776 of the family's 1533-position model. The record is from RNAcentral.
UACGGAGGGUGCAAACGUUGCUCGGAAUCACUGGGCGUAAAGCGCACGUAGGCGGCUUGUUAAGUCAGGGGUGAAAUCCUGGAGCUCAACUCCAGAACUGCCUUUGAUACUGGCGAGCUUGAGUUCGGGAGAGGUGAGUGGAACUGCGAGUGUAGAGGUGAAAUUCGUAGAUAUUCGCAAGAACACCAGUGGCGAAGGCGGCUCACUGGCCCGAUACUGACGCUGAGGUGCGAAAGCGUGGGGAGCAAACAGG